AUCGAACGCUGGCGGCAGGCCUAACACAUGCAAGUCGAGCGGAAGAAGCGAGCUUGCUCCUGGAUUCAGCGGCGGACGGGUGAGUAAUGCCUAUGAAUCUGCCUGGUAGUGGGGGAUAACGUCCGGAAACGGGCGCUAAUACCGCAUACGUCCUGAUGGAGCAAGUGGGGGAUCUUCGGACCUCUUGCUUUCAUAUUAGCCUAGGUCGGAUUAGCUAGUUGGUGGGGUAAAGGCUUACCAAGGCGACGAUCCGUAACUGGUCUGAGAGGAUGAUCAGUCACACUGGAACUGAGACACGGUCCCGACUCCUACGGGAGGCAGCAGUGGGGAAUAUUGGGCAAUGGGCGAGAGCCUGAUACAGCCAUGCCGCGUGUGUGAAGAAGGUCUUCGGAUUGUAAAGCACUGUAAGUUGGGGGGAAGGGCAGUAAGUUAAUACCUUGCUGUAUUGACGGUACCAAGAGAAUAAGCACCGGCUAACUUCGUG
RNAcentral lists this ribosomal RNA (484 nucleotides) under uncultured bacterium. RNAcentral describes it as "partial 16S ribosomal RNA". It matches the Rfam family "Bacterial small subunit ribosomal RNA", at positions 30 to 507 of the family's 1533-position model. The record is from RNAcentral.